UGGGGAAUUUUGCGCAAUGGGCUAACGCCUGACGCAGCAACGCCGCGUGGAGGAUGAAGGUCUUUGGAUUGUAAACUCCUGUCAGCAGGGAAAAAGCGACCCGGUCUAAUACGUCGGGGAGUUGAUUGUACCUGCAGAGGAAGCCCCGGCUAACUCUGUGCCAGCAGCCGCGGUAAUACAGAGGGGGCAAGCGUUAUUCGGAAUUAUUGGGCGUAAAGGGCGCGUAGGCGGCUUGGCAAGUGGUUGGUGAAAUCCCUCGGCUUAACCGAGGAACUGCCAUCCAGACUGCUUUGCUUGAGGCCGGGAGAGGCGAGUGGAAUUCCCAGUGUAGCGGUGAAAUGCGUAGAUAUUGGGAGGAACACCAGUGGCGAAGGCGGCUCGCUGGACCGGUUCUGACGCUGAGGCGCGAAAGCGUGGGGAGCAAACGG
This 428-nucleotide ribosomal RNA is filed under the name uncultured bacterium. Its description in RNAcentral is "bacterial SSU rRNA". It matches the Rfam family "Bacterial small subunit ribosomal RNA", at positions 355 to 775 of the family's 1533-position model. The record is from RNAcentral.